UACGGGGGGGGCAAGCGUUGUUCGGAAUUACUGGGCGUAAAGGGUUCGUAGGUGGCCGGCUAAGUCAGACGUGAAAUCCCUCAGCUCAACUGGGGAACUGCGUCUGAGACUGGUCGGCUCGAGUGCAGGGGAGGAACGCGGAAUUCCAGGUGUAGCGGUGAAAUGCGUAGAUAUCUGGAGGAACACCGGUGGCGAAGGCGGCGUUCUGGACUGUUACUGACACUGAGGAACGAAAGCCAGGGGAGCAAACGGG
This 253-nucleotide ribosomal RNA is filed under the name uncultured bacterium. Its description in RNAcentral is "partial 16S ribosomal RNA". It matches the Rfam family "Bacterial small subunit ribosomal RNA", at positions 524 to 776 of the family's 1533-position model. The record is from RNAcentral.